CUCAGGGUGGGUACUGGAUGCUGUUCAAGGUUCUGCCAUGAUCCCUGUGAUCAAAAAAUUUACGUUUGCAUUUACAUGUGCGGACCAGCAACAGAUACUGGAGCUGAUUUCAACUUCCACUAUGAUCAAGGUUACUGUACUGUCUCUGUCAGGAAAGAGACAAAGAAUGGAUGCCCGUGAGCUGAUUUAAGCAUCUUCCAUGGACAGGAGCCCUAUGGUUGCAUCUGUGUUAGGAGGAUGGAGAACAAUAAUGGGAGCACUUCAGCUGGUUGAAGGAUUCUUCUAUGGUCCUGAGAGCUCUGGUUGCAUUCACGUGUUAGGACUGUGGAGACCAUUACUUUUCAGAAUAGAAGCUCAGAGUGAUUUCAGCCUCUAUUGUGAUCAAGGUUAUCAUUUUCAGGUUGGUAUAGGACAGAGACCCAGGUGAGUAAUGACCAGUGUUCCUCUCUUGGUUUGGGUAAUUUACUUAAGUGUUUUCAUUGUAUUCUAAAAAGUAAUAAAUCUAAUCAACAGGUUAAUAAUGGCCCAUUGAUAAAUAUGACCUGAAACCUUAUACUGAUUAAUUGAUAUUGUAGGGACUUCCCUGGUGGCGCAGUGGUUGGGAGUCCGCCUGUCAAUGCAGGGGACACGGGUUCCAGCCCUUGUCCGGGAAGAUCCUACAUGCUGCAGAGCAACUAAGCCCGUGUGCCACAACUACUGAGCUGCGCUCAAGAGCCCACGAGCCACAAGUACUGAGCCUGUGUGCCUACAGCCUGUGCUCCGCAACAAGAGAAGCCACCACAAUGAGAAGCCCGCACACCACAACGAAGAGUAGCCCCUACUUGUCACAACUAGAGAAAGCCUGAGCGCAGCAACAAAGACCCAACGCAGCCAAAAAUAAAUAAAUAAAUUUAUUUUAAAAAAUUGAUAUUGUAUAACAUUGAUAUUCAUUAAUGAAAGAGUUGUAAGCUAUUUUGGUAAUGAUUAGAGAGAAGUUAGGGAUAUUCGAGUGUCUUGUUCUUUGGCUUUUGUUAAUCAUAUAUUUAUUUUAUUACUAUCAAUGAAGUAAUGAUUUAAUUGAUACAAAUAUAUAAAUGAAUGGACUAAAAUUGGGCUUAAAUGAACCAAUGAUGAGGAUUGGUAGAGGUUGAGGCACAGACAAUGAAUAAUAAGUAUCUGGACCCCUGAGGUCCAAGACAAUACAUACUCUAUUUUCAUGUUUAUUUGAUCCUAUGGACAGAUGUUAGGAAUGUAUAAUUUUCAAGUUCUUCGAUUAAGUUUUAAAAUUAUUACUAGAUCAAUGAGAGCACUAUUAAAGUUACAUAAAUAAUAGAUUACAAAGAAAAGAUAAAUUAUGUUCUCAUUAUGAACAUCUAUGAUGAGACAAGAAAUAUUAAUAAAAAUUUCCAGCACUGAUGAUCAUUAUGAAAUAGAUGGAUCAAGGGUGUCAUCACUUUUUCCAGAUACCAGAUAGACUUGAACAAUUAGGAGUCAAUUUUAUUGUUCUGAGUCAGUCUUAAGUAUGAGCUUGUUCUUUCUGUUAAGAGAAAACAAUUUCUACAUUAAGAAAAAGUUAUAAAUUCCUAAAUGACUGUAAGGUAGAUAGCUAGUGGGAAGCAGCCUCAUAGCACAGGGAGAUCAGCUCGGUGCUUUGUGACCGCCU
Globicephala melas (long-finned pilot whale) is the source of this 1642-nucleotide non-coding RNA. Lineage: Eukaryota; Metazoa; Chordata; Mammalia; Artiodactyla; Delphinidae. The record is from RefSeq and is a predicted model, not a curated record.